RNAcentral lists this ribosomal RNA (296 nucleotides) under uncultured bacterium. RNAcentral describes it as "partial 16S ribosomal RNA". It matches the Rfam family "Bacterial small subunit ribosomal RNA", at positions 1 to 303 of the family's 1533-position model. The record is from RNAcentral.
AUUAAGUUGAUCAUGGCUCAGACGAGGGCGUACGGUAGGCCUAACACAUGCAAGUCGAACGGCAGCACAGAGGAGCUUGCUCCUUGGGUGGCGAGUGGCGGACGGGUGAGGAAUACAUCGGAAUCUACUCUGUCGCGGGGGAUAACGUAGGGAAACUUACGCUAAUACCGCAUACGACCUACGGGUGAAAGCAGGGGAUCUUCGGACCUUGCGCGAUUGAAUGAGCCGAUAGUCGGAUUAGCUAGUNUGGCGGGGUAAAGGCCCACCAAGGGACAUCCGUCUGGUCUGGAGGAUGA